GAGACACCCUUAUGGGGCAGGACUUGCUUCAGUGGGGCUUUGGUGCUCACUGAGUCUGUACCUUGAGUGUGUCACU
Myotis brandtii (Brandt's bat) is the source of this 76-nucleotide non-coding RNA. NCBI's taxonomy places the organism in Eukaryota, Metazoa, Chordata, Mammalia, Chiroptera, Vespertilionidae. The record is from Rfam.